UGUAAGCAGGCGAGUCAGGAUCUUU
RNAcentral lists this non-coding RNA (25 nucleotides) under Drosophila erecta. RNAcentral also lists the same sequence under 2 other names. Lineage: Eukaryota; Metazoa; Arthropoda; Insecta; Diptera; Drosophilidae. The record is from RNAcentral.